AAUGGGGGCAACCCUGAUCCAGCAAUGCCGCGUGUGUGAUGAAGGCCCUAGGGUUGUAAAGCACUUUCACUGGUGAAGAUGAUGACGGUAACCAGAGAAGAAGCCCCGGCUAACCUCGUGCCAGCAGCCGCGGUAAUACGAAGGGGGCGAGCGUUGUUCGGAAUUACUGGGCGUAAAGGGCGCGUAGGCGGUCUUUUAAGUUAGGCGUGAAAGCCCCGGGCUCAACCCGGGAACUGCGCUUAAAACUGGAGGACUAGAAAACGGAAGAGGGUAGUGGAAUUCCCAGUGUAGAGGUGAAAUUCGUAGAUAUUGGGAAGAACACCAGUGGCGAAAGCGGCUACCUGGUCCGAUUUUGACGCUGAGGCGCGAAAGCGUGGGGAGCAAACAGGAUU
This 392-nucleotide ribosomal RNA is filed under the name uncultured Gammaproteobacteria bacterium. Its description in RNAcentral is "bacterial SSU rRNA". It matches the Rfam family "Bacterial small subunit ribosomal RNA", at positions 370 to 779 of the family's 1533-position model. Lineage: Bacteria; Pseudomonadati; Pseudomonadota; Gammaproteobacteria. The record is from RNAcentral.